UGAGAAAGUCACGUGACUCUGGCGGAAGCGUUGGCUUGACAACUGCAGUAAUCUUUACCUGCUGCUGCUGCGGCUGAAACAGAAGGUUUAUAAUCCAGGUGCCAUAAAGUAAAAAUCCUGUCCAGCAGUUGUUCCAACCAGCUCCUCUGCAGGUAGAUGCACACAGCAGGAGACACCAUGCCAGAGGUCAAGUCAGUAUUCAGAGAAGUUCUGCCCAAACAAGGACAGCUGUCCAUGGAAGAUGUCCCUACCAUGGUUCUGUGUAAGCCAAAGCUGCUCCCACUUAAAUCCGUCACAC
This is a long non-coding RNA of Cololabis saira (Pacific saury), 298 nucleotides long. RefSeq lists it as uncharacterized. The record is from RefSeq and is a predicted model, not a curated record. NCBI's taxonomy places the organism in Eukaryota, Metazoa, Chordata, Actinopteri, Beloniformes, Belonidae. The transcript has 4 exons.